CCCUUAGAUGUUCUGGGCCGCACGCGUGCUACACUGAGUGGAUCAGCGGGUCAGGUUGCGCGAAAGUGUUUCCUAAUCUUUAAAUCCGCUCGUGAUGGGGAUUGACGGUUGCAAUUUUCCGUCAUGAACGAGGAAUACCUUGUAAGCGCGGGUCAUCAUCCCGCGCUGAAUACGUCCCUGCCCUUUGUACACACCGCCCGUCGCCCCUACCGAUUGAGUGGUCCGGUGAGGCUUUGGGAUCUGGGCGGAAAGAGCGUUUCGCUGUUUCUGCCCGGAAAACUCAGUCGAACCUUAUCAUUUAGAGGAAGGAGAAGUCGUAACA
RNAcentral lists this ribosomal RNA (322 nucleotides) under uncultured eukaryote. Its description in RNAcentral is "partial 18S ribosomal RNA". It matches the Rfam family "Eukaryotic small subunit ribosomal RNA", at positions 1470 to 1796 of the family's 1831-position model. The record is from RNAcentral.